CAGGGAAGGAAGUAUCCAAAUCAAGGAGAUUAGCCUGGUUGCAAUAGUACAGCAUUAGUAGCAUCUAGCAAGGAAGGGGUAGGAGAGAGAUACUGAGGGCAGACACAGGUAUAGAGAAAGGGAGAAAACAGAUUCAAGAAGUGUAAACUCUUCUACCAAAGAUGAAUAUCCAGCAAUAGAUUCAAGAAAAAAAAUUUUCCCUCAUUUCUUCUAGUCCCCAUGGGAACCCCUCUCUGAAGGGUUGUGCCCUAUACAGCAUCACAAAGCCUAGUAUUUGAUAAUAUGCUGUCUGGUUAUUGAUUGUGUGAGUUGUAGGAUGUGAGCACAGCUGGAAGCCAAUCAUCACCCAGCUCAUUCUUCUCAUACAGAUAAUCCAACUGAGGCACAAAGCAGGGAUGUAAAGCAUUUAUAAUGGAGAAAUUCUAUAAUACAUAGACAUUCUUGAUUAGAUGGAAGAUAACCUUAGUAAAGAUGGCUUUAGCAGCUGGAGAGAACAGGAGCAUUCUCUUUCCGAAGGUGGAGUUUGAGAUGAUGAAACUGAAGUUCACAGAGUGAAAUUUGGCCAGUAUCACACAGCUAAGAAAAUAUUGAAGGUCUCAGUUCAAGAUUCCCUCGAAUCUGCACAAUGUUAGACCUCCUUCAAUAGAUACAAGAGCAACAGAGAGACACGAUGAAAAAUCAAUCACUCAAUCAGUCAACAAGGCCCUGGAUAAAUGGUCAAGAGAAGAGGAAAAAGUCAAGGAAAUCCCACACCGGCUGAUGAGAUUACUAAGAGGAUAGAGAGAAAGAAG
Molecule: long non-coding RNA, 791 nt
Filed under: Monodelphis domestica (gray short-tailed opossum)
Lineage: Eukaryota; Metazoa; Chordata; Mammalia; Didelphimorphia; Didelphidae
Description: lncRNA (ENSMODG00000050393.1)
Source: RNAcentral